Small nuclear RNA from Mus pahari (shrew mouse), 109 nucleotides. NCBI's taxonomy places the organism in Eukaryota, Metazoa, Chordata, Mammalia, Rodentia, Muridae. The record is from RefSeq and is a predicted model, not a curated record.
CUGUUCACUUUAACAGCAAGCUAUCUAAAACUGGGACAAUACAGAGGUGAUUGUCAUGGCCCCUGUGUUAAGAAUGACACACAGAAUAGAAGCAAAUUACCAAGUACUU